Podarcis raffonei (Aeolian wall lizard) is the source of this 1372-nucleotide long non-coding RNA. RefSeq lists it as uncharacterized. The record is from RefSeq and is a predicted model, not a curated record. Lineage: Eukaryota; Metazoa; Chordata; Lepidosauria; Squamata; Lacertidae. The transcript has 3 exons.
CACUGCACUAAGCUAGAACCCAAACAUUGUGACAUAGGAGGCAGGUUUCCUUAGCAAUGAACAAGAGGAUCCUGCUUCCUAUGUCACAGUGUUUAGGUUCUGGUUUCUAUAGGGACAGAAAUGUAUAAAGUAUGCUCCACAGACCUUCAGGCUCAGAUGGAGUUAGCGGGAGCUUGAGGCUGGACAUAAGAGAGGUAUUGCUGGGUUCUCUUUGUCCUUCAGAAAUGGAAGGAGACCCUGGUCACACUCAAGUAUGAGGAAGAAGAUAAGGGCCUCGGUUCGGCAGGGCACCAAGUAUAUUUAAAUAAAUUGAUGACUGAGGAAGCUAAACUGGCCGAGAGGUGAUGGGAAAGAAGCUCAGAUAAGUAUUCAUAUAUACAGGAGCUAAGAUAAUGGAGUGCUAAAUGUUGCAGGACUCUAAAACACAGAAACCAAUUUAACUGUUUUAGAAUCACGGCUUUUCCAUGUGCUGCUGUUUUUUCUUUGCUAUGCUGAGAACAAAUUUUGGACAGUUUCCCACACUAUCUCAUUGAUCUGCAAGGUAGGGAUAUUCCUGGGGAGUUAUAGAAAUGUUACUGCAGUAGUAUUAUGUACAAGCAAUCCUUUAAAAAAUAAAAUACACUUUCAUUACCAGAACUGCAGUGGAGAAGAGGGCAGGCUUUUGACCAUAUAAUUCUAAAUUCAACUAAAACCCCCUGUGAUUUGGCAAAGUAAUUUUAGGCCCUUUGUUUAAUAGUUUUAUGGGAUUUAAACAAGAACGAGGGUAACACUGUAUACAACAGUGUUGUUUUACAUAGAAUGUAACUGAUCUGUAGAAAAGUAUGAGCUGAAAGAAGAGACAAUGCAUUAACUUUUCUAACACAAGAAAAUCUUUAAUAUUUUUUUCAAGAAAACAACAAUAAAUGGCAAUACUUUAGGGGAAGUUUAGAAUGCCAACUAGGAGUUAAGCAACAGAGUUACUAAGCAGUGAGCUGAAGAGAGGACAACAACAUGUAAACUAAGGAAGAAGCAGGAUCAGAAAAUGCUGCUGUCGGUUUUGAAGGCAAAGCUGUGCCUAUGGGAGAAGCCAGAACCUCUUGGAAUUUAAUGCUGGAAAUCCCUCCAUUGGAUUCAGGUCCCUCACCCAAGCCCUGAACUUAUGACCCUGCAUUACAAUGACCAUCUUGAAGAAAUCAGCUCUGAUUCAAGAUGCUCUGCUGUUAACUGUGUGGGCUACUCCCUGCAAAUAAGGACAUGACCUCUCCAUGUUGGAGUUUGAUCUCUGUGGUAGGAUGGAGGUAGAGGGUGUAUGUGUGCUUGCUGGAGAAAAACAUGUUCCAAAGUGUCUAGGCCAGAAAAAAAACUCAGCGAGGAAUAAAACAAGCUUCAGGGA